GACGAACGCUGGCGGCGUGCUUAACACAUGCAAGUCGAACGGAAAGGCCCUGCUUUUGUGGGGUGCUCGAGUGGCGAACGGGUGAGUAACACGUGAGUAACCUGCCCUUGACUUUGGGAUAACUUCAGGAAACUGGGGCUAAUACCGGAUAGGAGCUCCUGCUGCAUGGUGGGGGUUGGAAAGUUUCGGCGGUUGGGGAUGGACUCGCGGCUUAUCAGCCUGUUGGUGGGGUAGUGGCUUACCAAGGCUUUGACGGGUAGCCGGCCUGAGAGGGUGACCGGCCACAUUGGGACUGAGAUACGGCCCAGACUCCUACGGGAGGCAGCAGUGGGGAAUAUUGCACAAUGGGCGGAAGCCUGAUGCAGCAACGCCGCGUGCGGGAUGACGGCCUUCGGGUUGUAAACCGCUUUCGCCUGUGACGAAGCGUGAGUGACGGUAAUGGGUGAAGAAGCACCGGCUAACUACGUG
Molecule: ribosomal RNA, 468 nt
Filed under: uncultured bacterium
Lineage: Bacteria
Description: partial 16S ribosomal RNA
Rfam family: Bacterial small subunit ribosomal RNA
Source: RNAcentral